This 21-nucleotide non-coding RNA is filed under the name Caenorhabditis elegans. Lineage: Eukaryota; Metazoa; Nematoda; Chromadorea; Rhabditida; Rhabditidae. The record is from RNAcentral.
UUCAUCUGACACUUAGAUGCA